RNAcentral lists this transfer RNA (77 nucleotides) under Pseudomonadales bacterium. RNAcentral's name for it is "tRNA-Val". It matches the Rfam family "tRNA". Rfam says of the family: Transfer RNA (tRNA) molecules are approximately 80 nucleotides in length. Their secondary structure includes four short double-helical elements and three loops (D, anti-codon, and T loops). Further hydrogen bonds mediate the characteristic L-shaped molecular structure. tRNAs have two regions of fundamental functional importance: the anti-codon, which is responsible for specific mRNA codon recognition, and the 3' end, to which the tRNAs corresponding amino acid is attached (by aminoacyl-tRNA synthetases). tRNAs cope with the degeneracy of the genetic code in two manners: having more than one tRNA (with a specific anti-codon) for a particular amino acid; and 'wobble' base-pairing, i.e. permitting non-standard base-pairing at the 3rd anti-codon position. Lineage: Bacteria; Pseudomonadati; Pseudomonadota; Gammaproteobacteria; Pseudomonadales. The record is from RNAcentral.
AGGCGCGUAGCUCAGUUGGCUAGACCACUACCUUGACAUGGUAGGGGUCGUUGGUUCAACUCCAAUCGCGCCUACCA